This 297-nucleotide ribosomal RNA is filed under the name Triticum aestivum (bread wheat). RNAcentral describes it as "partial small subunit ribosomal RNA". The record is from RNAcentral. Lineage: Eukaryota; Viridiplantae; Streptophyta; Magnoliopsida; Poales; Poaceae.
AUGAAGCAGCAACUAUUUGAGAAGGCCAUUCUUGGAAAGGUUAAGGCAUAUACAUAUGUCCUAGAGUUCCAAAAGAGGGGAUUACCCCAUGCUAACCUUUUGCUCAUCAUGACCGGAAAAUACAAAUACACGUGUCCGGAACAGUAUGACAGAAUCAUCUCCGCUGAGCUCCCUAACAAGCACAAGUACCCAGAACUAUACAAAAUGGUAGUCAAACAUAUGAUGCAUGGUCCUUGCGGUGCAUUGAAUAAAUUUUGUCCAUGCACAAAGAAUCGUCAGUCAUGCAAGAACAAUUAA